RNAcentral lists this ribosomal RNA (480 nucleotides) under uncultured bacterium. RNAcentral describes it as "partial 16S ribosomal RNA". It matches the Rfam family "Bacterial small subunit ribosomal RNA", at positions 28 to 523 of the family's 1533-position model. The record is from RNAcentral.
GACGAACGCUGGCGGCGUGCUUAACACAUGCAAGUCGAGCGAUGAAGCACCUUCGGGUGUGGAUUAGCGGCGAACGGGUGAGGAACACGUGAGGAAUCUGCCUUCCACUCUGGGAUAACUCCGGGAAACCGGGGCUAAUACCGGAUACUUUCAACUGGCGGCAUCGCCGGUUGAAGAAAGUUUUUCGGUGGAAGAUGACCUCGCGGCCUAUCAGCUUGUUGGCGAGGUAAUGGCUCACCAAGGCAACGACGGGUAGCCGGCCUGAGAGGGCGACCGGCCACACUGGGACUGAGACACGGCCCAGACUCCUACGGGAGGCAGCAGUGGGGAAUAUUGGGCAAUGGAGGAAACUCUGACCCAGCGACGCCGCGUGAGGGAUGAAGGCCUUCGGGUUGUAAACCUCUUUCAGCAGGGAAUAAGCGAAAGUGAAGGUACCUGCAGAAGAAGCACCGGCUAACUAUGUGCCAGCAGCCGCCGUAA